Molecule: long non-coding RNA, 2209 nt
Organism: Thunnus maccoyii (southern bluefin tuna)
Lineage: Eukaryota; Metazoa; Chordata; Actinopteri; Scombriformes; Scombridae
Exons: 3
Source: RefSeq, a predicted model, not a curated record
CUGAGAGUGAAGGAGAAGUGCGGCACAGCAUGGGGGGCUACAGCGUGUGAAUGGUUGGGUUUGUGUCUUUUGAGCCUUUAUGACCAAAACGCAGAGGAAUGAGAGAGGAAGGCACAUAAAACAAUAAAUGUGUGAGGAUUGGUGCGUAUGUUUGCGUGAGUAACUGUGCGUGUGCCAGUGCUUGAGUGUUUGCUGAGCCUUUCAUGUUCAUUACAUGGUGCCUUGUCCAUGUCAGGCUUCACCUACUGAUCAAACUCAGAGUUGGAGUGGCUCAGCUGGCUGGAGUGGACACACACACACAAAAAAGACUGGUCACCUCUUUCAUGGCCAUUGUGCUUUAAUGUCCUGUGGUUUUGCACCAGGUGCAUACCCUCAGCAUGCACAGGAUUUAACACACAGCACUUCAUCCCUCAAAUGCCCUCGCUCUCCCAGUUUGUCUCAUCUUCCUCCAAAGUGCAUUCAAGCACACGCAUGCACGCUCAGAAAAAAAAGGAAAAAGUGGCAUUCCAGGGUUUGAGCUGCUCAUGGAGUAUAAUUUUAUUUGCAAACACAAUAAUGGGUUCAUGACUCUCAUGACACUAUCUGUCACAUGUUCGCCCAUCUUUCUAAUUAUGUAUUGGGAUUCUGCCUCAGGAAAAACCUUUAGGAGGUGUAUAAGAAACAUGUUCUGUUAUCAAGAAGUCGUCUUCUCUCCCUAGCUGUGAUGUAUUUUACAUGGCAGCCACAGUGAAACCUGCUUCAUCCUGGUGAUGGAACCGAAAGGAGGAAAAUGGAAUUCCAUCUAUUGAACGCAAACCCAUUAUCAAUUACACAAAAACCCCUCAGCGUGUGUGUAUGCCUGUGCGUGUAUGUGUUCUUGUAAAGGAAAGGGGUUGCUCGAAAAUGCAAUUCAAUCUUGGACAAAAUAUGUGGAAAAAGUCGCUGCAUCCCAACUUUGAAAUCACAUUCUGCUUAGUUAUUCCCUUCACUAUCACCAUCUAUCGACCAUCUACCUCCUGAGGUUUUCCACCGAGAAUUGCAUGAGCUUACAGCAUGUAACACUGGGGGACAUGUGUGAACGUCAUCCCAAGCGGUUAACAGAUGAUGCGUCCCAGAGACAGAAGGGAGAGAGCACGUAGUGGUGUACAGCAAAGCCUCCGGUGACUGAUACCAACCCUUAUGCCACCCAGUUUUCGUGAUUUUGAGGUUUUUCAGGUGAGCGAUUUCCCUUUUCCUUGGCACGCCUCAGAUCGAGGUUGGGCUGAUCUCAAAUAAACUCUUAAUAAGCCCCAUUUCACGGCAUGCAGCCAAGAGAUUAGAUCUGACAGGGCAGGCGUGGGCUAGUACUGAGACUACAGAUCUGCAGGCUAAGCUCUGGAUUGGAAAUGUUCCAAAGCCUGGUGCAGCUUGUUGGAUGGAGAGAAAUGAUUGUGAGAAAUUCCACAUUCCCUACUGACCAACCCACCUGCUACACCACACCUUAAUCCAACCUUUACUCCCCCCCGAGAGACAUGUUUAUAGGUGUAAGUUUUAUGGAAAAAAUUAACAGUUCCAACUUUCUCGCUGCCAGAUGUUGGGAGGGCUUUCAACUGCUGACCUAUACCACCUUUCCUUAUGACAGAGCCCCCCGGAGAUGCUCUGCCUACAUCGUAUGAGGUGCGAGCCAUUGGUUUGAGCUACAGCAGCAUAUGAAUCAUCUUCCAUAUGAAGCUAAAGAAAUGUUCUCACAGCCCAGGGCACAAGCAGGUGAACUCAGCUUGCCAUAUGGCUUAGGGGGAGCUUAUUAGGCUUUGAGCAGAAAACACAUUAUCCACAGUGGACCAAGGCCACCGAGAGAUGAUUUCCAUUAUGAAAGCCUUUAAUUCCACUGGUAUGAGUAGGCAGGGGUGAGGGGGGUGUUAAUGUGGAAAAAUGCUUGAGGAAAGGAGCUGCACACUGCAAACCACUUGGCUCGUGCUGGGGUGGAUGAUAUCUUCAAGGCCUGUCUACUCCUUACUGGCAUUGAAAGCGAAAUGUGUUGUCUUCGGCUUUUUUUUCCCCUGAACACAGUUUUGAAAGUAAUUACAUGGUUGAUAAUACAAAUGGCCAUCUGACCUCUCUGACUUAUCUUUUUCUCUUUUUCCAUGUUGCUCUCUGAAUCAAACUUACCCCCAGGAUGUUUGUACGUUUGGUGUCAUGUAAAAAAAAAAAAAAUGCUGCAAACAAAUACAAGAGAAGUUUAAUGAGGAAA